Molecule: ribosomal RNA, 253 nt
Filed under: uncultured bacterium
Lineage: Bacteria
Description: partial 16S ribosomal RNA
Rfam family: Bacterial small subunit ribosomal RNA
Source: RNAcentral
GACGAACCGAGCGAACGUUGUUCGGAAUCACUGGGCUUAAAGGGCGCGUAGGCGGGUACUCAAGUCUGUGGUGAAAUCCGGCAGCUUAACUGUCGAAUUGCCAUGGAUACUGGGUAUCUCGAGGGAGGCAGGGGUGCGCGGAACUAAUGGUGGAGCGGUGAAAUGCGUUGAUAUCAUUAGGAACUCCGGUGGCGAAGGCGGCGCACUGGUCCUUUUCUGACGCUGAGGCGCGAAAGCCAGGGGAGCAAACGGG